RNAcentral lists this unclassified non-coding RNA (284 nucleotides) under plant metagenome. RNAcentral's name for it is "partial contains small subunit ribosomal RNA, internal transcribed spacer 1, and 5.8S ribosomal RNA". The stretch from base 1 to 53 matches the Rfam family "Eukaryotic small subunit ribosomal RNA", at positions 1779 to 1831 of the family's 1831-position model. The record is from RNAcentral.
GGAGUAAAAGUCGUAACAAGGUUUCCGUAGGUGAACCUGCGGAAGGAUCAUUAUUGUAUAACCGAGGUGCGAGGGCUGUCGCGGACCCGAAAGGUCGUGCACGCCCGAGUGCCCUCACACACAUCCAUCUCACCCCUAUGUGCACCACCGCGUGGGUCCCCCUUUGGCUUGUUCGGAGGGGGGCUUACGUUUUCACACAAACUUUGUAUGCAGUGUAGAAUGUAUUUUUUGUUUUUGCGAUCACGCAAUCAAUACAACUUUCAACAACGGAUCUCUUGGCUCUC